Molecule: ribosomal RNA, 478 nt
Filed under: uncultured bacterium
Lineage: Bacteria
Description: bacterial SSU rRNA
Rfam family: Bacterial small subunit ribosomal RNA
Source: RNAcentral
GAUGAACGCUGGCGGCGUGCCUAACACAUGCAAGUCGAACGGAGCUGUUUUGAUGAAGUUUUCGGAUGGAUUUAAAACAGCUUAGUGGCGGACGGGUGAGUAACGCGUGGGUAACCUGCCUCACACUGGGGGAUAACAGUUAGAAAUAGCUGCUAAUACCGCAUAAGCGCACGGUUCCGCAUGGAACAGUGUGAAAAACUCCGGUGGUGUGAGAUGGACCCGCGUCUGAUUAGCCAGUUGGCGGGGUAACGGCCCACCAAAGCGACGAUCAGUAGCCGGCCUGAGAGGGUGAACGGCCACAUUGGGACUGAGACACGGCCCAAACUCCUACGGGAGGCAGCAGUGGGGAAUAUUGCACAAUGGGGGAAACCCUGAUGCAGCGACGCCGCGUGAGUGAAGAAGUAUUUCGGUAUGUAAAGCUCUAUCAGCAGGGAAGAAAGUGACGGUACCUGAAUAAGAAGCCCCGGCUAACUACGUG